This 2749-nucleotide unclassified non-coding RNA is filed under the name Zerene cesonia (dogface butterfly). RNAcentral's name for it is "uncharacterized LOC119838644, transcript variant X1". The record is from RNAcentral. Lineage: Eukaryota; Metazoa; Arthropoda; Insecta; Lepidoptera; Pieridae.
UUGAAAUAUUUUUUACUCCUUUAGGCUUUAGUGUUAAAAUUUACCGUUUAAUUUAUAAUAAUUUAUUAUAUAUCCAAGUACUUCACAUUUCCCAAUCAACGGCCAAACAUUUUCUUUACUUGUAGAAAAUUCAUGAUAUGGCUAUCUACGGGUUUUUCAUCAAAUAAGGAAUUGCUUGUUUUUCUCAUCAUCUGCAGUGAAUAUAACAAUGUAAAUACAUGGCAUCUAUUAACUGGCUGUCCAUGUAAGUGCCGAUGUGUUUAAUUAACUGACGUAAUCGCCUAUGACAACAUCAGCGCAGAUUUAAUGUGACUAGUUUUCAUUAUAAUUAACGGACAAUAUUUGAGAUCACUAUCGGCACUUACAAUUUCCUCUAAAACUUUUUGUGCUCAAAAUGGAUUAAUGUAUCGUGUAUACUGUAAAUCGCUGAUGUAAUCGACAAAAUGAAUGAUCCGUGGGAUGUUAAGUGCGUGCGACAAUCCGGUCACUAUACCUCUUGUAUGAAAUUAAAUGGGGUACCACUUCUUCCGCCUGUCUUAUCUAGAGAAUGUCGCAAAGAAAUGCAGUACUACAAGUUGUUAGCGCAAGAAGUAGAAAAAAGGAUAAAUACAUUAAAAAUAUUUAUGGUGGAGAGUGAUACUGAGUCGAUUGACGAUAAGACUGAUGCACCUGACCUGCCCGACUCAGAGCACAACGACAACAUGUCUCCAACAGAUAUGGCUGCAUACACUGCCAAUGUCACCCCUACAAAUAUUAAAAAAGAAGUUACAUCCAUAAAUAACACUCCUGAUCUUGAUUCUCCAAAUACCUGUGAUGUUGAUAGUAUUUCCAAAACACCAUCGAAAUUUAUAAUAGACUUAAGCAUUAGUCUGAAUGAUGACAGCAAAACAGUUACCACAAAUACCCCAAAUCCAGCUGUAGAAGUGCCGGAGCGGGAUUGGGAAUGUACAAAACCAAAUAAAGAUGUUCCCGCUGAUAUUAGCCAAAAGGAAAAUUUGAGAAGUGUUGAUGAUAAAUUGUUUUUCAGUAUCAGUCUAAACAAUGAUGUCUUAUCAGACCCUCUAUCCAUAACAUUUGAUCAAGACGGUCCCCCAUCUCUUAGUUCCAAGAGCUUCACGGGUUCCCUUAAUAAUAUUCACACAGACAGUGUUAGAGACUCGAAAGUGAUACCUCUGUCUCGCCAAAGAUCUUACACAGUUCUAAAACCAAGCCCGUUACUACUUGCUCAUCUUGAGGUACAAUCUAUCAAUACUGGUGUUGAAAUAAAUUCCAUAUCGAUGAGUGAAUCAAUGUCGAAUCUCAGCUCUCCAAGUAAAAAGCGAAGAAGUUGGGAUUUAGAAACUGCGAAAGUGAAAUGGUCGUCCAUGGCUUUGGAGUUGAAGCAAAACAGUUUAAAGAAAACGACGAAAGAUAAAAAUGGCGUCACGAAAUCCGCAACGAAAAAGGUGACGCAAUCGGCGCCGGCAAGAGCGAGAUCGCUGGUUCAAGAAAGAAAUAAACGAGUUACUAAUGUCUAUAAACCAUCUAACAAAUCUGAGCCUAUUCAAAAAAUUAAGAGAAACCCAAGCCCUGUCAGAAAUUCAUCAGCAAAUCCGCCCGUGUCGAUAACAAAUUCCGCUAAAACUUCACAAAUUCCAAACGGAGUAGAUAAGAAGGCUACACCUAAACAACUGAUAUCCGAAUCAGAAGAUCCAGCGGCGCGCGUACGAGAGCUUUACGAAAAAAUCCAAAAACAACAACUCAUUCAAAUGGCCAGCUUAGUUGAGAAACAGAAAAAAGAACAGAUGCUGCUACAACAAGUAUUUGAAGAACAGAAUAAUUUGCUGUACUCCCAGUUGAAAACUAUUUGCCCAAAACCGCCAAAUGACGUGAAAGAAGCGUGGGGUGGUAAAGAUACAGAUAGAGGUCCAGUUAGUUUGAGCCAGUUGAUAAAUUCAGAGCCAGCUGAUAGCCCUGUUGUUGCUACGCUCACCGAAACGAACAAUUACAUAAACCACUGUGAUAAUGUUUUAAAAAAAUCCAGGGAUAUAACUGAGAGUAUAAAGAAAGCGACCAAGUGUCCAUCUAAAGAAAAGAGUCCACCGAAAAGCCAAUCUAACGGUAACUGUGCAAAGAGUCAUUCACCAGGACGUAGGAGCACUUCGCGAAAGCUUACCUACGAAAACAGUGCUUCGACUGACCGAGACUACGACCUUAUACUGACCGAUCGAACGAACGACACUAUGGCCGAUCUUAACGUGACCUUCCCAUCAGAUGAAGAAUGUCAACUCUAUAAUAUAGAUCCAUGUACCAAUGAGAUCUGCAAUGCAGUUCCCCAGCUUGUAGCGCCGUGCAAGUCCACAGAUAGAGCCAUUAAAAGCAUGGAGGAAACUAUUCAAAAUUCCAUAAAGAGUAUGUGUGGCAGAAAGCCGCGAAGUAUUUGUCGGCAGGCCACACCGCAAGAGGUAAUCUAGUGGAAUAACAUUCUAUAUAUUAGUAAUUUUGUUUUUUAUAAUGACUAGAAUCAUUUAAUUUCAAUAGUGUAGACUAGUACCAUAGACUAGAUCAAUACAUACAAUAUCUGCUUAUUCUACAUUCGAUACCUGUUUUUCUAUUGGUCAUUGAGUUCUUAUUGCUGUAAUAUGGAAUUUGUAUGGUAAUUUAGACCAUUUCCUACCUUACUGCUUUCCUUUUUUCGCGUCCUGUUUAUUCCUAUUCUGGGUUAUCUUUUCGAUUAUAUCUUAGUCUUAUAACAUCACUUUUAUGUAUG